UCUCAAACUCUCAGACCUUCUCUAUGGUUCUUUGAUAUUUCUCUCUGUUCUCUUCUAAUAUCUCAUACCAAAUUGAGAGACGACAUGGCUGGAUUUGAGCAGCAGGUGAAGGAGAGAGCUAAGGAGCUGAAGGUUUUUUUCAAGAAAGGGGUGAAGAUUGUUGGCGAAUCUUGCAAGAAGGGCUGGAACAAAGUUAAACAAAUGAAACGUUAGAUUUUUUUUUUAAUUAUUUAAGUUUUUUUUUUGUUAUUAUUAUUAUAUAUCGCCAUGUUUGAAGCUUAAUUUUCAAUUUUAUCGGUAUUUAUUUAUUUUUAAUCUAUCGGCGUCUUGUCUAAGGUAUGAUUCCGAUGUAAAGAUUUUACUUUUUUCUAUUUUUCUUAUUUAUUAUGCUGUGUUUGUUCUUUUUAUUCUAAUUGAAACUGCCUUUUCUUUUUCUUAUUAAAAA
Molecule: unclassified non-coding RNA, 445 nt
Filed under: Hevea brasiliensis (rubber tree)
Lineage: Eukaryota; Viridiplantae; Streptophyta; Magnoliopsida; Malpighiales; Euphorbiaceae
Source: RNAcentral